GUGUCAGCAGCCGCGGUAAGACGUAGGGGGCCAGCGUUGCUCGGAAUUACUGGGCGUAAAGGGUUCGUAGGCGGUGUGGCAAGUCGGAAGUGAAAUCUCUGGGCUCAACCCAGAGGCUGCUCCCGAAACUGCCAUGCUAGAGUGCGGGAGAGGCGAGUGGAAUUACAGGUGUAGCGGUGAAAUGCGUAGAUAUCUGUAGGAACACCCGUGGCGAAGGCGGCUCGCUGGACCGCAACUGACGCUGAGGAACGAAAGCUAGGGGAGCAAACAGGAUUAGAAACCCCAGUAGUCC
RNAcentral lists this ribosomal RNA (292 nucleotides) under uncultured bacterium. RNAcentral describes it as "partial 16S ribosomal RNA". It matches the Rfam family "Bacterial small subunit ribosomal RNA", at positions 505 to 796 of the family's 1533-position model. The record is from RNAcentral.